This 433-nucleotide ribosomal RNA is filed under the name uncultured bacterium. Its description in RNAcentral is "partial 16S ribosomal RNA". It matches the Rfam family "Bacterial small subunit ribosomal RNA", at positions 29 to 507 of the family's 1533-position model. The record is from RNAcentral.
AACGAACGCUGGCGGCAUGCCUAACACAUGCAAGUCGAACGAGACCUUCGGGUCUAGUGGCGCACGGGUGCGUAACGCGUGGGAACCUGCCCUUAGGUUCGGCAUAACUCCCCGAAAGGGGUGCUAAUACCGGAUAAUUUCUUCGGACCAAUGAUUUAUCGCCUUUGGAUGGGCCCGCGUUGAAUUAGCUAGUUGGUAGGGUAAAAGCCUACCAAGGCGACGAUUAAUAGCUGGUCUGAGAGGAUGAUCAGCCACACUGGGACUGAGACACGGCCCAGACUCCUACGGGAGGCAGCAGUGGGGGAUAUUGGACAAUGGGCGAAAGCCUGAUCCAGCAAUGCCGCGUGAAUGAUGAAGGCCUUAGGGUUGUAAAGCUCUUUUACCCGGGAUGAUAAUGACAGUACCGGGAGAAUAAGCUCCGGCUAACUCCGUG